RNAcentral lists this RNase P RNA (424 nucleotides) under Vibrio ulleungensis. Its description in RNAcentral is "Vibrio sp. 188UL20-2 RNase P RNA component class A". It matches the Rfam family "Bacterial RNase P class A". From Rfam's summary of the family: Ribonuclease P (RNase P) is a ubiquitous endoribonuclease, found in archaea, bacteria and eukarya as well as chloroplasts and mitochondria. Its best characterised activity is the generation of mature 5'-ends of tRNAs by cleaving the 5'-leader elements of precursor-tRNAs. Cellular RNase Ps are ribonucleoproteins. Lineage: Bacteria; Pseudomonadati; Pseudomonadota; Gammaproteobacteria; Vibrionales; Vibrionaceae. The record is from RNAcentral.
GGAAUUGGCUGAGUAGUCGCUGCUUCGUUGACGUCCCUUCAAACUAGUCUGUAUAGGCAAGGGUGGGGGAGACUGACGGAGGGGAGGAAAGUCCGGGCUCCAUAGAGCAGGGUGCCAGGUAACGCCUGGGGGCUGCCGUUUUAAGACGGCGGUCACGACAAGUGCAGCAGAGAGAAAACCGCCGAUGGCCAUUUAGGUGGCACAGGUAAGGGUGAAAGGGUGCGGUAAGAGCGCACCGUACGUCUGGUAACAGUGCGUAGCAGGGUAAACUCCACUCGGAGCAAGACCAAAUAGGCCCUCACAUUGCGUGGCUCGCGUAUGGGGGCGGGUAGGUUGCUUGAGCCAGUGAGCGAUUGCUGGCCUAGACGAAUGGCUACUACCGCGCAAGCGGAUACAGAACCCGGCUUAUAGGCCAAUUCCCUCU